RNAcentral lists this ribosomal RNA (774 nucleotides) under uncultured Neocallimastigales. RNAcentral describes it as "partial large subunit ribosomal RNA". It matches the Rfam family "Eukaryotic large subunit ribosomal RNA", at positions 22 to 637 of the family's 3401-position model. Lineage: Eukaryota; Fungi; Neocallimastigomycota; Neocallimastigomycetes; Neocallimastigales. The record is from RNAcentral.
GUACACGCUGUGACUAGCAUAUCAAUAAGCGGAGGAAAAGAAACUAACAAGGAUUCCCCUAGUAACGGCGAGUGAAGCGGGAAGAGCUCAAAUUUGAAAUCUUAAAGGGUUUCCCUUUACGAAUUGUAGUUUAAAGAAGUGUUUUCUGUUGAGGUUUUGGUAAAAGUUCUUUGGAAUAGGACAUCAUAGAGGGUGAGAAUCCCGUAUUUGACCUUUACUUUCAACUUUGUGAUACACUUUCAAAGAGUCGGAUUGUUUGGGAAUGCAGUCCAAAAUGGGUGGUAAAUUUCAUCUAAAGCUAAAUAUUGGCGAGAGACCGAUAGCGAACAAGUACCGUGAGGGAAAGAUGAAAAGAACUUUGAAAAGAGAGUUAAACAGUACGUGAAAUUGUCAAAAGGGAAGCGUUUGACACCAAUGUUGUUUUUCUGAAAAUCAAUUAAAGAACUGUUUAUGCUAAGUUGUUUAGACUUUAUCAGCUAACUGUUUAGUUUUGAGCUUUUCUUUAAUGCACUUUUCAGUUAACAAGUCGACAUCAAUUUCUUUUGCUGUAAAAAAGCUUGAGGAAGGUGGCUUGAGAUUCGUCUUAAGUGUUUAUAGCCUCUUGCCUAUGCAGUCGGAGAGAUUGAGGUCUGCAGCGUAGAUCCUUCGGGGCUAAAUGCAUUUGUGCUAAGUUAUAGCAUUUCAUAGACAACUUGUUGACUAUGAUUUGUCUUGUAGCUUACUCGCUUAUGUUAUUUUACCUACGCUUAGGAUGUUGACAGCAGUAUAGACUGU